ACUCCUACGGGAGGCAGCAGUGGGGAAUUUUGGACAAUGGGCGAAAGCCUGAUCCAGCAAUGCCGCGUGUGUGAAGAAGGCCUUCGGGUUGUAAAGCACUUUUGUCCGGAAAGAAAUCCUUGGCUCUAAUACAGUCGGGGGAUGACGGUACCGGAAGAAUAAGCACCGGCUAACUACGUGCCAGCAGCCGCGGUAAUACGUAGGGUGCGAGCGUUAAUCGGAAUUACUGGGCGUAAAGCGUGCGCAGGCGGUUUGCUAAGACCGAUGUGAAAUCCCCGGGCUCAACCUGGGAACUGCAUUGGUGACUGGCAGGCUAGAGUAUGGCAGAGGGGGGUAGAAUUCCACGUGUAGCAGUGAAAUGCGUAGAGAUGUGGAGGAAUACCGAUGGCGAAGGCAGCCCCCUGGGCCAAUACUGACGCUCAUGCACGAAAGCGGGGGGAGCAAACAGGAUUAGAUACCCUAGUAGUCCC
This 470-nucleotide ribosomal RNA is filed under the name uncultured organism. RNAcentral describes it as "partial 16S ribosomal RNA". It matches the Rfam family "Bacterial small subunit ribosomal RNA", at positions 335 to 797 of the family's 1533-position model. The record is from RNAcentral.